Long non-coding RNA from Drosophila miranda, 1029 nucleotides. RefSeq lists it as uncharacterized. The record is from RefSeq and is a predicted model, not a curated record. Lineage: Eukaryota; Metazoa; Arthropoda; Insecta; Diptera; Drosophilidae. The transcript is spliced from 2 exons.
UGUGUACUUAGAAAAAGCUCGUGAGGAGGUAUUUAGAUAAGUUGAGUACCGAAAGCAGACGCCUUUAUGAGAUAGAGAGCAAAGGAAAAUAGAUAAGGCGAGGCAUAUGACCCGUUAGUUUUCAAGUUUAAAUAAUUUUGCAGUGUCAGAAGCCGGACAGUUCGACAAGUUCGUUCCCAGGCUCAGUACUUUUCGCACAUUCUGGGAAAUUACAAUGGCAACGGGUCUGCCCGCCGUCGUUAACAGAACUAAAAUACCUAAGAGAAUGCCCUGGCCAUGGCCAAAGAAAAAACCCAAAACGGGAAAACUGAAAAAGAAAAUAAAACUAGAUUCUUCAGCAUGUGCAGAACUGGUUUGCGUUAUUUUUCAACGUUUCGCCUAUGUAAAGGUGUUGGUUUGUCUUUUGGUGCAUAGAACUAUUGAGCAAGGAAUUGAGUGUUGGUCGUUGGCGCUGCAGCUAUUCCGGGGAUGGGAAUAGGUAAAAAUCGAUCAACGCUUGGUGUGGCCAGGGGGAGGACACAUUCUCCAACACAUGCGCAAAAAUUCAAUACACAUACACACACUGCGCCGUGAAGCGAUGUGUCAUCACUUUCUGAUGGUUGUACCAAAUGUAAUUGUUUUUUUUUUUUUUCCAUAGUUUUUGCACCGUUCAUCUAUUUUUUAGUGUCUGUUUUACACAUUUUGCCCAAUUUGCAUAACUCUUUCUUUUGCUUUUGUGUCUCUUUUCAAUAACAAACACAAUAACAACACACACAAACGAAAAUAUAAACUGUUACGACGGCCAUCUUGGAUAGAGGAGAGGGAGCAAUGAGAGUCAAAAAGUCGCUCAUUACACACACCGUCACUGUUGCGAAAUGGGUUUUGAGUAUGCGGUUGAUCGCGGCGCUUCAGCUUCUUGCUUUGAUUAUGUGCAACGAAUACUUACACCAAUUUUGUAAUUCAUAUAUUAUAUUUAUACUUAUUUUGAUUUUAUUUAUCUGUUUUUCUUUUAUUUGACAAUUGUUUGUUAAGCAGCGGACUAGAGCUCAG